RNAcentral lists this ribosomal RNA (253 nucleotides) under uncultured bacterium. Its description in RNAcentral is "partial 16S ribosomal RNA". It matches the Rfam family "Bacterial small subunit ribosomal RNA", at positions 524 to 776 of the family's 1533-position model. The record is from RNAcentral.
UACGGAGGGUGCAAGCGUUGCUCGGAAUUAUUGGGCGUAAAGGGUAGGUAGGUGGUCUUAUUUGUCUGGGGUGAAAGCCUUGAGCUUAACUCAAGAAGUGCCCCAGAAACGGUGAGACUGGAGUCCUGGAGAGGGUCGUGGAAUUCCCGGUGUAGCGGUGAAAUGCGCAGAUAUCAGGAGGAACACCCGUGGCGAAAGCGGCUCUCUGGGACGGUACUGACGCUGAGACGCGAAAGCGUGGGGAGCAAACAGG